GCGCUCUCUAGGGCAGCACGGGUACGAAAACUGGAACGAUACAGAGAAGAUUAUCAUGGCCCCUGCCCAAGGGUGACAUGCAGGCUCCUGAAGCGUUCCAUAUUUUU
Molecule: small nuclear RNA, 107 nt
Organism: Diceros bicornis minor
Lineage: Eukaryota; Metazoa; Chordata; Mammalia; Perissodactyla; Rhinocerotidae
Source: RefSeq, a predicted model, not a curated record